Camelus dromedarius (Arabian camel) is the source of this 581-nucleotide long non-coding RNA. RefSeq lists it as uncharacterized. NCBI's taxonomy places the organism in Eukaryota, Metazoa, Chordata, Mammalia, Artiodactyla, Camelidae. The transcript is spliced from 3 exons. The record is from RefSeq and is a predicted model, not a curated record.
GCGGAGGGGAGAGGGGCUGCGGGCUGAGCGGCCGAGGGUUUAACCAGUCCUGCCUGAUGGCACCUCCAUGAGAAAGCCAAAAUACAAGGACUGUGAGAGCUUCCGGGUGGGGAGCACGCCCGCAGGUUGGGAGGCAGCUGCCCCCCAAAGUCCACAGAGACUGAAGCCCCAGCACUCGGGACCCUCCUGGACCUCGUCAUCUGGAGAAUCACCCCCGUCUUCAGCAUAAACGAUCCCACACAGAAGUGACGGCCUACCGGAUCUGUCGUCCUCUGCCUGCCUGCCUUUGCGUUGGAGGGGCCUCCAGACGCUGCAUCCACUAUGAAGGUGGUCGAUCGACUGCAGAAGCCAUCGGCUCCGCUGAGCUGUUCAGGGAGAGAAGGUCAAACGCUGGGGUCAGACCUCAGGGAGCGUCUCCACUCAGGCUGUGGGAGGAAAAGGCUGUGGAGACAGGAGAAAGGAAGGCACUGACUUUUUAAAAUUAUUUUUUCAUGGUUCUGCACACACACCUGGGAGACGGGUCCACCCUGCCGCAGAGAAGGGAGUCAGGUGCUCAUCUGGCCUCGACGGGGACCUGGGAC